RNAcentral lists this ribosomal RNA (512 nucleotides) under Dianemobius nigrofasciatus (band-legged ground cricket). RNAcentral describes it as "partial 16S ribosomal RNA". It matches the Rfam family "Archaeal large subunit ribosomal RNA", at positions 1953 to 2669 of the family's 2987-position model. The record is from RNAcentral. Lineage: Eukaryota; Metazoa; Arthropoda; Insecta; Orthoptera; Trigonidiidae.
GGCUUUUGGUUUUAAUUAAAAGUCUGGCCUGCCCACUGAAGUUAAUUAAAGGGCUGCAGUAUUUUGACUGUACAAAGGUAGCAUAAUCAUUAGUUUCUUAAUUAGGAACUGGAAUGAAUGGUUUUUCGAGAUAUCAGCUGUCUACUAGAUAAAUAAAUUGAAUUUUAUAUUUAAGUUAGAAAGCUUAAAUGAGUUUUGGGGACGAGAAGACCCUAUAGAUCUUUAUAUUGAAUUCAAUAAUAUUAUCAUGUGGUUUAAUUGGGAUUUAUUGUUUUUGAUAUUUUAUUGGGGUGAUACGGGAAUAUAUAAACUUCUUGAAUAUUAUAAACUUGAAUUGAAGAAUUUUGGAUCCUUAAUUUAGGAAAGAAGAUUAAGAUACCUUAGGGAUAACAGCGUUAUUUUGUUAGAAAGUUCAUAUUAAUAACGAAGAUUGCGACCUCGAUGUUGGAUUAAGAUUAUUAGCUGGUGCAGAAGUUAGUUAAAUAGGUCUGUUCGACCUUUAAAUUCUUACA